AAAAAGCCAACGGUUAACCACAUAGUCAACAGUCAACACUAACACACAUCUCUUCUCUCUUAUUACAGCAAUUUAUCGAACACGUGUAAGACAUUUCACAUUUCAACAAAGAAUAGAGGGAGGAGAUCUCCGAUAAAGAGCUUGUUGAAGGCGCGUGAUCAUGCGAUACAGGUUAUUACCUACCACUUCUUCUUUUUGUAUUCAUGUAAUUCUACUUUUGGAAUACUUCAAUUUUGUAACGAUCAUCUAUUUUCUUAGUGUUUGAAACUCGCAUAACUGCAAACCUAGGUUAAACGUAAGAGUUAAUGUAGUUGCAUUUUAUUAUUUUAGGAAAAAUUUGAUAUGCAUGAAGAUCCGUUUUUGAGAAUUUUAUGCUUCAGGUACUCAAUUAGAUAGAUUUUUAAGAGAACAAAGUUUGAAUCAUUCCAUUGUAUUGUGAAAUAAAGUAGAAGCAAGUGUAAUGGAGCGGGUUGAAACAGAAUGGAGAAUGUUAUCCAUUUCUUAUUUUACACCAAAUAGUAAACUACAUUCAUCGCCGUUGGAAAUUUAAUGUCUUAAUGGAUAUGGCGAAGACAAAUACAAAAGUGAUUGUAAACGCAAUAACUACAACUGCAACCACUCCCAACAAAUCAUGCUUGAAACCAAAGUAAUUAUGUAAAAAGUCUUGUAUUGGAACAGUUAUUCCAUUAGACUUCAAAUCAUCCUUUAUAUCUCCAAACUGUGAAGUCACCAACCCAUUUAAAGUCCAAGCCACUGGAUUUAUCCAAUAGAACCAUCUCCACCAUACAGGGAUCCUCUGAAAUUCCAUUUCAAAAAAUUAAUGAAAAGAAACAACAACAAUAAUUAUUUGUAUAGUACAAGUCUAUGCGGUUAACCGUUAACAUAAAAAACUUAAACUUACUGGCUGUGGGAUUAUGAAUCCUGAGAAGAGAUUCCAUAAUGAAUUGGACGCACUGCAUAAUAAAGCAGCCAUGGAUUGGUUUGGGGUCAUGGCUGCUGUCAUCAGACCGUAGAAGGUGUAGUAAAGGAAGGUGAAGAACAUGAAAAAUAUGUACCAACAAAAUUUAGUGAUGCUCAACUCAUAACCAAUCAUUGUGUAAACUAUAAUCCCAUAAAUUACAACUUGUACAAAAUUAUAAGGAACUUCAAUUAGAGCCUGUAUGAAAGAAAAUAUGAAGAUUAGAAAAAAUACACACACAAAAUUAUUUACAUACACGAGACUACGUAAAUAAAGACUAAUUAAAUGCUUACCUGAGAAACAGCAUAUGCCAAUGAUGAAUACAUUCCUGCAGCCCUUUCCCUGUAAAAGACUACUCGCUCUACAGCUACCACUGGUUGCACUGAAUUGCAAUUCUUGGUACCAAUAAGCAAAGUAGUAGUGUACAUAAAGCCCAUGGAAUUAAAUAAAUCUUGUUGGUUUUGACUGCAAUCAAUUGAUGUAUAAAUUCAAUUUUAGAAUAAUCAGAAGCAAAAAUUUGAAUGCCAUAUAAAACACCUACUAAUUUCCAUUGGUAUCUUACAUUUUGGAGCCAAUUUUCCAGUUCAUGCUCCCAAGAAACAGGGCGACACCAGUUGUGAAGAUAAACCUUAUGGCAUUGUACUCCGGAUUGCGCCAGUAAGACCAAUGUUGUUUCCAUAAACAAGCCAUACAUUGGAUAGAAAAGGACCUCGAGUACUUUGAAGGA
This 1685-nucleotide long non-coding RNA is filed under the name Cicer arietinum (chickpea). Its description in RNAcentral is "long non-coding RNA (CARI_LNC000829)". The record is from RNAcentral. Lineage: Eukaryota; Viridiplantae; Streptophyta; Magnoliopsida; Fabales; Fabaceae.